GUGAAUCAUCAAAUCUUUGAACGCAAAUUGCACUCCCUGGUAUUCCGGGGAGUAUGCCUGUUUGAGGGUCGUUAGAAUAAAAAAUCUAGGCGUCGCUCUUUUUUUUAAGGGUGAUCGCAUCGGAAUUUAUUCGUCUUCAAAUGUUAAUUCAUGUAAAAGUGUCUUAAAAUUUCAUCCAUCCGGUACGAUUAAAGCGUAUUUAUGAUCAAUCUUGAUUAAAAACGCUCGAUGACUUACAAUCGCAUGUA
Molecule: unclassified non-coding RNA, 248 nt
Filed under: Funneliformis mosseae
Lineage: Eukaryota; Fungi; Glomeromycota; Glomeromycetes; Glomerales; Glomeraceae
Description: partial contains 5.8S ribosomal RNA and internal transcribed spacer 2
Rfam family: 5.8S ribosomal RNA (bases 1-71)
Source: RNAcentral